CUAUAUCUGUCUAUCCAUGAACAAAGAGAAUGCAAAAUAUACUCUGAUAUCAGAACAACAAAGGAAAACAAAAUGCAUAUUUACAGGUGAAAGAAUCUUCCAGAGCUGCUGAAGACAGGUAAAAAUUCUGCCUCUGAACCUGCUAGCGACCCAGUAAGAAAGAAAGCAUACUCGUUGGCAAAGAGAAUAGUGGUACCAGAACUUUCUUCAGUCAGGCAGCCACGCCAGGAUCUGUUCCUUUUGGUUCCACUGACUUCGAAUUGGGCCAGGGCCUCACUGCAACUGCAGCUAGUUUAUGUCUGAUUUCAAAUAUGAUUUAGGGGAUUUAACUUUGUCCUUCAGCUCAAUCCCCAACUUUCUUUACUACUAUUGCUACAACUGAGGGACAAAUAAAUCCCUUUGAUCCUCCCAGG
This 413-nucleotide long non-coding RNA is filed under the name Zalophus californianus (California sea lion). RNAcentral describes it as "lncRNA (ENSZCAG00015020582.1)". The record is from RNAcentral. Lineage: Eukaryota; Metazoa; Chordata; Mammalia; Carnivora; Otariidae.